Molecule: ribosomal RNA, 497 nt
Filed under: uncultured bacterium
Lineage: Bacteria
Description: partial 16S ribosomal RNA
Rfam family: Bacterial small subunit ribosomal RNA
Source: RNAcentral
GAUGAACGCUGGCGGCGUGCCUAAUACAUGCAAGUCGAGCGAACAGACGAGGAGCUUGCUCCUCUGACGUUAGCGGCGGACGGGUGAGUAACACGUGGAUAACCUCCUUAUAAGACUGGGAUAACUUCGGGAAACCGGAGCUAAUACCGGAUAAUAUAUUGAACGGCAUGGUUCAAUAGUGAAAGACGGUUUUCCUGUCACUAUUAGAUGAUUCCGCGCCGCAUUAGCUAGUUGGUAAGGUACCGGCUUACCAAGGCAACGAUGCGUAGCCGACCUGAGAGGGUGAUCGGCCACACUGGAACUGAGACACGGUCCAGACUCCUACGGGAGGCAGCAGUAGGGAAUCUUCCGCAAUGGGCGAAAGCCUGACGGAGCAACGCCGCGUGAGUGAUGAAGGUCUUCGGAUCGUAAAACUCUGUUAUUAGGGAAGAACAAAUGUGUAAGUAACUAUGCACGUCUUGACGGUACCUAAUCAGAAAGCCACGGCUAACUACGUG